CGGCGGACGGGUGAGUAACACGUGGGUAAUUUUCCUCAAGGUACGGAACAACNCAGGGAAACUUGGGCUAAUACCGUAUGAUGCAGAGAUGCCAAAGAUUUAUCGCCUUGGGAUAAGCCCGCGUCAGAUUAGGUAGUUGGUGGGGUAAUGGCCUACCAAGCCUGUGAUCUGUAGCUGGUCUGAGAGGACGAUCAGCCACAUUGGGACUGAGACACGGCCCAAACUCCUACGGGAGGCAGCAGGUGGGGAAUCUUGCGCAAUGGACGAAAGUCUGACGCAGCCAUGCCGCGUGAAUGAUGAAGGUCUUAGGAUUGUAAAGUUCUUUAGCCUGUGACGAUGAUGACGGUAACAGGAGAAUAAGCCCCGGCUAACUUCGUG
This 378-nucleotide ribosomal RNA is filed under the name uncultured bacterium. Its description in RNAcentral is "bacterial SSU rRNA". It matches the Rfam family "Bacterial small subunit ribosomal RNA", at positions 96 to 507 of the family's 1533-position model. The record is from RNAcentral.